This 571-nucleotide ribosomal RNA is filed under the name uncultured fungus. RNAcentral's name for it is "eukaryotic LSU rRNA". The stretch from base 188 to 341 matches the Rfam family "5.8S ribosomal RNA". Lineage: Eukaryota; Fungi. The record is from RNAcentral.
UCGUAGGUGAACCUGCGGAAGGAUCAUUACCGAGUGCAGGUCUGCCCCCGGGCAGGCCUAACCUCCCACCCGUGAAUACCUGACCAACGUUGCUUCGGCGGUGCGCCCCCCCCGGGGGGUAGCCGCCGGAGACCACACCGAACCUCCUGUCUUUAGUGUUGUCUGAGCUUGAUAGCAAACCUAUUAAAACUUUCAACAAUGGAUCACUUGGUUCCGGCAUCGAUGAAGAACGCAGCGAACUGCGAUAAGUAAUGUGAAUUGCAGAAUUCAGUGAAUCAUCGAGUCUUUGAACGCACAUUGCGCCCCCUGGCAUUCCGGGGGGCAUGCCUGUCCGAGCGUCAUUGCUGCCCUUCAAGCCCGGCUUGUGUGUUGGGUCGUCGUCCCCCCCGGGGGACGGGCCCGAAAGGCAGCGGCGGCACCGCGUCCGGUCCUCGAGCGUAUGGGGCUUUGUCACCCGCUCGAUUAGGGCCGGCCGGGCGCCAGCCGGCGUCUCCAACCUUCUAUUUUACCAGGUUGACCUCGGAUCAGGUAGGGAUACCCGCUGAACUUAAGCAUAUCAAUAAGCGGAGGA